AGAGUUUGAUCCUGGCUCAGAUUGAACGCUGGCGGCAUGCCUUACACAUGCAAGUCGAACGGUAACGGGCCUUCGGGUGCCGACGAGUGGCGAACGGGUGAGUAAUGUAUCGGAACGUACCAUUGAGUGGGGGAUAACGUAGCGAAAGUUACGCUAAUACCGCAUAUUCUCUCCGGAGGAAAGCAGGGGAUCGCAAGACCUUGCGCUCAUUGAGCGGCCGAUAUCAGAUUAGCUAGUUGGUGAGGUAAAAGCUCACCAAGGCGACGAUCUGUAGCGGGUCUGAGAGGAUGAUCCGCCACACUGGAACUGAGACACGGUCCAGACUCCUACGGGAGGCAGCAGUGGGGAAUUUUGGACAAUGGGGGCAACCCUGAUCCAGCCAUGCCGCGUGAGUGAAGAAGGCCUUCGGGUUGUAAAGCUCUGUCAGGGGGGAAGAACCUCCAAUCGGGUAAUAUCCGGUUGGCCUGACGGUACCCUCAAAGGAAGCACCGGCUAACUCCGUGCCAGCAGCCGCGGUAAUACGGGGGGUGCAAGCGUUGUUCGGAAUUAUUGGGCGUAAAGCGCGUGUAGGCGGUUUGAUUAGUCUGAUGUGAAAGCCCUGGGCUCAACCCAGGAAGUGCAUUGGAAACUGUCAGACUUGAAUACGGGAGAGGGUAGUGGAAUUCCUAGUGUAGGAGUGAAAUCCGUAGAUAUUAGGAGGAACACCGGUGGCGAAGGCGGCUACCUGGACCGAUAUUGACGCUGAGACGCGAAAGCGUGGGUAGCAAACAGGAUUAGAUACCCUGGUAGUCC
RNAcentral lists this ribosomal RNA (792 nucleotides) under uncultured bacterium. RNAcentral describes it as "bacterial SSU rRNA". It matches the Rfam family "Bacterial small subunit ribosomal RNA", at positions 8 to 796 of the family's 1533-position model. The record is from RNAcentral.